AUGAUGGCUUUGCUAAUUCCAGGUCCUAAAUCACUUGGAAAGCACUUUGAUGUCUUUGUACAACAACUUGUAGAAGACUUACUUGAGCUGUGGGAGGGUGUGCGUACAUAUGAUGCUCUUAGUGAAAAAAUGUUUGAUCUUCAUGCUGGAGUUCUAUGGUGCAUUCAUGAUUACCCAGCUCUGAGCACUCUUUCAGGGUGGACCACAAGAGGCUAUUUUGCAUGUAUUCAUUGUGACAAACACCCUAUUUCUUACGUCCUAAGGAAAAAAUUGGGUAUAUUGGUCACUAUCAUUUCCUUCCAAAGGGACAUCGUUUGCGGAGAAAUAAUGAAUUUGUUGGUCUUCGUGAAAGCAAUGAUCGGCCAGGUAAAUUCUCUAAGAAAGAGCUGCAAGCAGAAUUGGAGAAGGUUAGACCUGGGAGGCAACAAGAGAGUAAGAAAAGGAAAUGUUCUGACUUGGGAAGCAAGAAGGCUCAUGUGCCAAUUUGGAGCCGCAGGGUUUGUUUGUGGGAUUUGGAAUAUUGGGGGAAAUUGA
RNAcentral lists this ribosomal RNA (534 nucleotides) under Triticum aestivum (bread wheat). RNAcentral's name for it is "partial small subunit ribosomal RNA". Lineage: Eukaryota; Viridiplantae; Streptophyta; Magnoliopsida; Poales; Poaceae. The record is from RNAcentral.